UGGGCUGCUGAUUUUGAGGGUUGGCAGAUGUUACCAAAGUAGCCCUGCCUGUAUGCUCAGAAACAGAUUUAAAUCCAUUUCAUUCACAUCCACAAUUCAAAAUUACCCCCAAAAAAGAAAAUUAAAUUGUAGCAGCAGGCUGCAGCUUCUUCUUUCAUCUGUUCUCCAACCUGGCUUUUCACACCCAAAUCAGCUGUCAGCACAAGUGUUACGACCUGGAUUCAAAGAUGCUUUUUAAACCUCUGAUUACAUGGCCUACUUUCUGGCUAUGAAAUGAGGCCAGGUGGAUGCUAUUUUAAAAGCCUUCUAAAGACCAUGGCUAAAACAGCUGACAACAUUACCGGACCACUGGGGCUUAAAGGGUUUCACAGGGCCUCUGUGUCUGAGAGAAGUGCUGGCUUUAUCUCUGUGUUUUGCAUUUCAUUUGUUUCAUUUACUAACAGGACUUUAGGAAUCCUAAGUGUUGUGCCCCUCCCCUUAUCAUCCCCAGGCAAUUCCUCUCCCACUGUUUGUGUGGAAUCUCUAGCCUUUUUAACAGACCAGUCUGUCACUAACACCACACCCUGCCUUUUCUCCAUCGUCCUAUACUGAAGAAGCUACAAGCAAUAUCCAAGUACCCCUAAAACCACAGCAAAUUGAGGAGAGAUGCUGAAGGAGAACAAGGACAGCAGGACUCUCAUGGAACUGUCCCCUGCAGCAGCUACAUUUGAAGCAUAAAGCCUUGGUUUGUUUAGUACCAGUACAACUCCUUUCCUUUUCUGCUUUCCUUAAAUUGUUUCUCAACCCUGUUGCUCUCUCCUUCAGGACAUACUCCUGUUUCCAAGUGCCUGCCCACACCAGAGCUGAAGCAAUAGCUGAGUUUUCCCUCCUAAAUACAAGUAAUGCUUCCCAUUAAAAGAUUCGCUGGACUACUCCACAAGGCUGCCACAGAGUAUUUGAUCUGCUGCAGAGCUAACUGUGCCAGCAACCUCUGAAGCUCGCAAAGAAGUAGGGGUGGUAAGUACAAGGCUUGGCUUCCCGUGGAGUCUGCGGAGGUUGUCCCCGAGGGAACUAAAGAAAGUAGCUUACCUCUUUGCCAGCUUGGCUGCAUCUGCUGCAGCACUUCCGUUGACUAGAAGGGACACGUUAGAUAUCGCACCGGCCAGGAAACAGUCCACGAUGCCUUGGUUUCUCCGAGGACAAUAGCCAAAGUCAUCUCCAGUUAUUAUUAGCUUCACCUGAAGCAUCCUUAGAUGUCAUCUCUAGCAAAAAAAAGUAAAGGAGGUUAAAUCGGAACACUCGGCAGUCUGCAGAUCACAGGCAAACAGGAAAAGACAAGCUCACCGGGGGCGAACCCAAUGGUGACUCAGCCCCUGACUAACUCCUCCUGCUCCACCUUAGCCCGCCGCUGGCUCGCAGCGCAGUGGCCGGAUCUGCGUGUGGCCGCCGGGCUCACAUCAGCCCUACCCUCCCCUGCGGAAGGAAAGCCUUGCCUGCACUUUGUACCGCCGGGGAUGAGGAGCGUGCGAAAGGUACACCUUGAGAUGAUGUUUGGCUUCAAUGGCAAUGGCAUGAGACCAUCAGAACAAAUUAAGUAAGAAAAUCUGAAGAGUUCUCACGAACUUCAAAAGUUUACAUCAGAAGUGGAAGACAAAAAGAUUUUUGCCUAAUCAGAAAAUGAGUAUUAGCAAAGUGGAAUUAAUCAAGAAACCCAUUAGCCAAAAUAUCUCUACCAAAAAACAGAACCAAUGUCUUCAAAAGUCCCAGAAGUCUACCAUGAGAGUAGAAGACUCAGUGAAGCAUGAAGCAUGUCAUCUCAAAAGAAUUCCUUCUCCAGAAAAGCUGGUGCUACCAAUGAAAGCAUUGGGAAUGCCUCAGCAAUGUAACACGUAAAUUCAUCUGGAAGAUCACUUACAGGAAUUGUUGUCGUCUCCCAGCAUCACUGAAAGCACCUGGAAAACCUCAGCUGAUUGAAUGGAAAUGCACAUUAAUUCCUUUGGAGUUCUCAGGGGAGAUCCUAUGCUCUUGAAGCAUCAGUUAAGUUCGUUGAGAGAUGGUGACAUUACUGGACACAGAUUGCCAAGACUCUGAAGAACUUUCAAGGACAUUUUUCUACCUCAAAGACUAGAAACAAAAAACAGAGGUUAAAAAAUCCUCAACUCCUCUCCCCCAGAUGAAAAAAAUCUUCAAUUGUAUAUGCGUAUAUGUUAAUACUUUUUUUUUUUCCAAAAAUCUUCUGUUUAGUUACUAUGCUUGUUCUUACAUUAUAUCUACUGAAUGCAAAAAUCUCAACAAGUUAAUUUUGAUAUCUAGUCCUUAAACGACUUAUGCUGAGUGAUAAGGAACUGUAAUUCUAUAAAUUUCUGGCAAGCAAUUUUUUUAUUUACUGUUCACUAUUUGUAUCAGGCUUAGGGGUCACAGUUAAAAGAGUUCUACUGUAAGGUAUUCCAGUGGAGAUGAAUGUUUGAUCUGAAGUGAGGUUUACAAACAGCUCUUCAUCAGUGUGGGGUGAAAGAAGGAGACAGAAGAAAAACACAGAAUGUUUACUUUUACUGCCUCUUAUGGAUAUCAGAGAAAGGACCAGAUGGAGAGAAAAAUCAGUGGAAGAGCUCAUGUGGAUUUGUCUUUGUAUCAAGUACUAAUGUCUGUAGAAUUGUGCCCUGUCUUUUUUGCCUACGGUUCAUGUCAGUCUGAGAAAGAAUCCAGGUGUUACUGCAGUGUUUUCUCUAAAUCAAAGGCUGGCUAUACCAAUAGAUGCACCAGUGCUUUUUGGGGUGUAGAUCAAGCCCAAGAGCUGCCAGCUCUGCCAUCUUAGUUGUCAGUCACUGUUUUUGUCAUGCAAAGCAAACAGAAAGUUUAAAGCAUCCAUAAGAAAGGCCAAUAUAAAAAGGAAAGCCCUCUUUUCUAUAAUCUGUUGCAUUGGGGCAGCAUACUCUGAAAUUUUCUUGCGACACAGAUUUUUCAUUCCUGUAUGCUAAAAGCAUUUGGCAGCACCAAAUCCUGUUCUUCAGGGAGGGCCAUGUUAUACCUACAGCUGCACCUGAGUAGAAAUGGCAAACAUUUUCAAAAUCCUUCAAAAUCAAAUGUGCAUAAGGACUGCAGAGUUGUGACUGAAGGUAGAAGGUUUUCUAGUUACAUUUGCAUUCUCUCCUUUUGCAGCACUGUUGAAUUAUUUUGUUCAUAAUGAGAUUCCUAUCAAAAAAGCUGAUAUUUCCAUGACCAGUAUGCAGUCACAUAAUUUCUGUGGCAAUUUUACCUGUAUCUUACAGCAGUCUACUGGAAACAAUAGUGGGCCCUGUCACAAUGAGGUGGUUGUUAAUUGCCGUGGGUGUUUGGCAUUGACGGGUUCUUUGUUGGCAACCGUUCUAACCCAAUUAUAUUUCUAAAGUAGGACUGAAAAGCGUUGUAGGGAGCACCAUGUAAAUGGCACUAAAUGCACUGAGACUGAGCGACCUCCCAGAAAGACAGACAGGUGCCAGCUAAAGCCCCAUAUGAUUGAUUUUCCAUGGCUAAAAUGGCAACCACAGACAUCUGAGUUUGCCCCACUUAUACAAGAGCAGCAAAUGUGAGCUGUUGUCUUAGUUGGAACAGCAAGGCCGCUUAGAAUGACAUAAAAAUAUGGCAUUUGAAUAUCAACAUGGGAUCUUUUGCUUUUCUGUGAGUAAACUUUUAUACUUCCAGCACCAGGAAAUGAGUUUUCAGGCCUGAGAAAAGUACUAGGGCUUGUUUUAAAGCAGACCUGGCAUUUAAGUCAGAGAUAUUUCUGAGAUGUAGGUAUAGCUAAAAAAAUGGUACAAAGCCAGCGUAAAGAAAACUAACCAUUCGAUUGAAUGGUAUCACAUGGAUUGGAAAAAGCCUUGCAGCUCCAAGACUAGUGGAAGAGGGAGAAAGUCAACUGAGCAUCUUAUGACGUUUGCACUAACCAGCAACACUAAUGUGCUUUCUAAAUCAUCCUGCAACAGAAAGUGUAGUGUUUCAAUUCUUUGCUGUUGCAGGCACAUAAUACCACUGUUACCAAGACUGAAGUCCCAAGGCAGGCGCCCGUCUACCUGUUGCCUUGCCACUAAGAAGAUCGAAAUCUUUUGAUCUGUUAAAUUACUUUGUAUUCCUCAGAGUGUUAUGCGGGACUCACACCAGGCUCUGAUGGGAUACGAGUCAUUCCAAUAAGCAGUUUAAGAGGCAAGAGCUAACAAACUA
Myiozetetes cayanensis is the source of this 4176-nucleotide long non-coding RNA. RefSeq lists it as uncharacterized. The record is from RefSeq and is a predicted model, not a curated record. The transcript has 3 exons. Lineage: Eukaryota; Metazoa; Chordata; Aves; Passeriformes; Tyrannidae.